UUUCCGUAGGUGAACCUGCGGAAGGAUCAUUACAGAGUUCAUGCCCUUCGGGGUAGAUCUCCCACCCUAUGUAUUACAUACCUUUUGUUGCUUUGGCAGGCCGCUUCGGCCACCGGCUUCGGCUGGUGCGCGCCUGCCAGAGGACCCCAAACUCUGAAUGUUAGUGUCGUCUGAGUACUAUAUAAUAGUUAAAACUUUCAACAACGGAUCUCUUGGUUCUGGCAUCGAUGAAGAACGCAGC
Molecule: unclassified non-coding RNA, 241 nt
Filed under: uncultured fungus
Lineage: Eukaryota; Fungi
Description: sequence contains ITS1, 5.8S rRNA gene
Rfam family: 5.8S ribosomal RNA (bases 193-241)
Source: RNAcentral